UUCAUAUACAGUAUGAGAUGAAUGAUAUAUCACCAUUCUUCACUUCUGUAGAAGCUAGCAACUUGCACCAUUUCUCGUGAAAAAAACAAGUGUUUUUUCAGCUAAGAAUGGCACCACAAAAACAGAAAUGCCUUGCCAAGAGAAGACAACAAACAACGCCUAUAAAAACGACUCUUAAGAAGAGCGUAAAAUCUCCUCGAAAGAAAUAUCGAGAAAUAAGGAACCCCUACGGUGUUAAAUGUGGAUGUGAAAGCCCUGGCAGCACGCCAAAAAACGCCAACUCCUCCAGGGGACAGAGAAGAAGCCAUCGCCGCUUAUGAAAAGCAAGCAGGCAGGCUUAUACCUUGCAGAAGCUUCUAACAUCACUUUUCUCCCAAAGACUAAGAUCUAAACGUGAUGUA
Actinia tenebrosa (Australian red waratah sea anemone) is the source of this 401-nucleotide long non-coding RNA. RefSeq lists it as uncharacterized. Lineage: Eukaryota; Metazoa; Cnidaria; Anthozoa; Actiniaria; Actiniidae. The record is from RefSeq and is a predicted model, not a curated record.